This 73-nucleotide transfer RNA is filed under the name Bacteroidota bacterium. Its description in RNAcentral is "Bacteroidetes bacterium (sediment metagenome) tRNA-Gly". It matches the Rfam family "tRNA". Rfam says of the family: Transfer RNA (tRNA) molecules are approximately 80 nucleotides in length. Their secondary structure includes four short double-helical elements and three loops (D, anti-codon, and T loops). The record is from RNAcentral. Lineage: Bacteria; Pseudomonadati; Bacteroidota.
GCGGAAAUAGCUCAGUUGGUAGAGCACUAGCUUCCCAAGCUAGGGGUCGCGAGUUCGAGUCUCGUUUUCCGCU